CUUAAGAGUAAAAAGUUUCAUCACUCAUUGAACUUUGCCUUCGGUCAUGUUGUAGUCACUGAACUUUGAUAUGCUUAUGGCCGCUCACUGAACUUACAUGAAGUGACCUCCGUCCAUCACUCAGCAAACAGCUACUGGAAGGGUGUCUGACGUGGCAAGACGGUAGUCUAUGUGGCACGUUAGCAACAUCUCCUCUAAAUGAAAACACGACUCCAUGGCUGGAGAAAUCACGACUUUCACCAAAUGAAAAUGAAAACACCACCACUUGAAAUGAAAAGCCCUAAUUCUAUCUCAGAAAUUGAAAUCCCCAAAUCCCUCGCCCAAACUCGGUAAUGAAGAAGAACCCUAGAAUUCGAUUCCCCUAAAUUCGAUUUCGAAAAGCCUGAAUUCCAGUCCCAAAUCGCGAUUUCAGUAAGUGAUGAAGCUUUUUACUCAUUGAAAAGCCAUAAUUCCAGUCCCAAAUUGCGACCAAAGGAGAACAAUUUUCAGCGAAUUGAACUCGAUUUUCAACGAUUUCCAGUCCCAAUUGAACCCAAUUUUCAGCGACUUGAACCGAGACGCAUCCUCGUCUUCGUCUUCCUGGCAACACCAAAUUGAUUUUGCUCACAAACCCACGGUUCGAUAGCCGACAUUUUUCAAAACGAGAAAGAGGUAACAGGGGCAUAUGUGAAUUUGAUACCUGGUUUGAGAUUUGCCUAAAUAUGAAUUUGUUGCCUGCUUUGAGAUUUGCUAGCAAUAGUCUUUGGCUUGGCCUGCGGUUACUGUGAACUGCUUCCAUUAUGUUAACAUACAUGAUUUCUUCACCUUUAUUGUUAUUCAAUUAUUCGAAAUUGCACAAUUGAAAAUGAAGUCUUGUUGUAGGAAGCUACUUACUGCAUAGAGGAUGUUGAAAAUGAAGUCUCUUAUUCUACUUGCUGCUACUCAGUGCAAACUGGUAGUCUUAGUUUUGCUAAUCAUGUUGUUCACCUUUCCCCUCUUUGAAGUUGAAUGGCAGGGACAAAUAGGGGCAUAUGCGUCUCAAGUCAGGAGUUCUUAAGUAAAAUUGUUUCAUCAUUAAUUUUUUAGAAGUCUUGUGUUACUAAUCCUUCUAUUUGUGUUUUGCCAUAAUCCUUUAUGUGAAUUACCAUAGUCGAUUCCAUCUGUUUGAGCAUAUUUUAAGUGGUCAUGAUAUUGGUGAUUGCAGAUCUGGUGCCCAAUUGCUUGUGCUUUUCAUGUAGAAGGAAAAUUGAGCAAGUCUGGUUGAUGAAUUAUUUCUCUGAGAUGGAGUGGAAUACGAGGUGGGACUGGUAGAACUUUGUUAUGUUCGGCUCCAAAGCGAUUGAUAGCUUCAAGAAGGUACCAUCAGCAGAGUGGAUGAGUAUGGAUGAUGGGGAAAUUUCGUUCAAUUUGUCUGGUGGAGGUGGGAAUAGUGGUGGUUCUGGUUCAGAAGUUGGGCAUGGUUCUAUUGCUAAGAGCUCAAUACCAGCUUCUUUAGAUUCUUUACUAAAGGAUGGGAUGAAAACUCCCAAUUUCAAUUUUGAGGCAUUUGAGGGCUCUGCCGAAGAUUUUAGCAAGAAAAUUGAAAGCAACAGAAAUCAGACUUCAAUACAUUUAUUCGUAGUAUUUUGCUUCAUUUCUAGCCGUGCUUGUUUCGGCUUAGUAUUUUGCUUCGAUUUUAUGUACCUUUAUUUGUAAUGACGUUCACACUAAUUCAGUUAUUGAUGCAAGAUCUUAUUUACUUGUUCGAGUUUGCUGUCCUAUUUAAUGGCAAUUCACUUUUUGGAUGCUUACAACAUUACCAAAA
Molecule: long non-coding RNA, 1783 nt
Filed under: Olea europaea subsp. europaea
Lineage: Eukaryota; Viridiplantae; Streptophyta; Magnoliopsida; Lamiales; Oleaceae
Source: RNAcentral